Molecule: ribosomal RNA, 398 nt
Filed under: uncultured bacterium
Lineage: Bacteria
Description: partial 16S ribosomal RNA
Rfam family: Bacterial small subunit ribosomal RNA
Source: RNAcentral
CCUACGGGUGGCAGCAGUGAGGAAUAUUGGUCAAUGGGCGGAAGCCUGAACCAGCCAAGUCGCGUGAGGGAUUAAGGCCCUGCGGGUCGUAAACCUCUUUUGCCGGGGAGCAGAGGUCCGGACGUGUCCGGGCCGGGAGAGUACCCGGAGAAAAAGCAUCGGCUAACUCCGUGCCAGCAGCCGCGGUAAUACGGAGGAUGCGAGCGUUAUCCGGAUUUAAGGGGUGUGAAGGGCGCGUAGCCGGGCUGACAAGUCGGAUGUGAAAUCCAGUGGCUCAACCACGGAACUGCAUUUGAAACUGGCGGUCUUGAGUGUAGGAGAGGCAGGCGGAAUUCGUGGUGUAGCGGUGAAAUGCGUAGAUAUCAGGAGGAACACCGGUGGCGAAGGCGGCCUGCUGG